AGUUUGAUCCUGGCUCAGGAUGAACGCUAGCUACAGGCUUAACACAUGCAAGUCGAGGGGCAUCAGGAAGAAAGCUUGCUUUCUUUGCUGGCGACCGGCGCACGGGUGAGUAACACGUAUCCAACCUGCCCUUUACUCGGGGAUAGCCUUUCGAAAGAAAGAUUAAUACCCGAUGGGAUAAUUAUUCCGCAUGGUUUGAUUAUUAAAGGAUUCCGGUAAAGGAUGGGGAUGCGUUCCAUUAGGUUGUUGGUGAGGUAACGGCUCACCAAGCCUUCGAUGGAUAGGGGUUCUGAGAGGAAGGUCCCCCACAUUGGAACUGAGACACGGUCCAAACUCCUACGGGAGGCAGCAGUGAGGAAUAUUGGUCAAUGGGCGCUAGCCUGAACCAGCCAAGUAGCGUGAAGGAUGAAGGCUCUAUGGGUCGUAAACUUCUUUUAUAUAAGAAUAAAGUGCAGUAUGUAUACUGUUUUGUAUGUAUUAUAUGAAUAAGGAUCGGCUAACUCCGUGCCAGCAGCCGCGGUAAUACGGAGGAUCCGAGCGUUAUCCGGAUUUAUUGGGUUUAAAGGGAGCGUAGGUGGACUGGUAAGUCAGUUGUGAAAGUUUGCGGCUCAACCGUAAAAUUGCAGUUGAUACUGUCAGUCUUGAGUACAGUAGAGGUGGGCGGAAUUCGUGGUGUAGCGGUGAAAUGCUUAGAUAUCACGAAGAACUCCGAUUGCGAAAGCAGCUCACUGGACUGCAACUGACACUGAUGCUCGAAAGUGUGGGUAUCAAACAGGAUUAGAUACCCUGGUAGUCCACACAGUAAACGAUGAAUACCCGCUGUUUGCGAUAUACAGUAAGCGGCCAAGCGAAAGCAUUAAGUAUUCCACCUGGGGAGUACGCCGGCAACGGUGAAACUCAAAGGAAUUGACGGGGGCCCGCACAAGCGGAGGAACAUGUGGUUUAAUUCGAUGAUACGCGAGGAACCUUACCCGGGCUUAAAUUGCAGUGGAAUGAUGUGGAAACAUGUCAGUGAGCAAUCACCGCUGUGAAGGUGCUGCAUGGUUGUCGUCAGCUCGUGCCGUGAGGUGUCGGCUUAAGUGCCAUAACGAGCGCAACCCUUAUCUUUAGUUACUAACAGGUUAUGCUGAGGACUCUAGAGAGACUGCCGUCGUAAGAUGUGAGGAAGGUGG
Molecule: ribosomal RNA, 1172 nt
Filed under: uncultured Bacteroides sp.
Lineage: Bacteria; Pseudomonadati; Bacteroidota; Bacteroidia; Bacteroidales; Bacteroidaceae
Description: bacterial SSU rRNA
Rfam family: Bacterial small subunit ribosomal RNA
Source: RNAcentral